GUGCUCACUUUGGCAGCAUGUAUAAUAAAAUUGGAACGAUACAGAGAUUAGCAUGGCGCCUUCGCAAGGAUGACACAAAUUCGUGAAGUGUUCCAUAUUUUU
Molecule: small nuclear RNA, 102 nt
Filed under: Macaca fascicularis (crab-eating macaque)
Lineage: Eukaryota; Metazoa; Chordata; Mammalia; Primates; Cercopithecidae
Source: RNAcentral